Acanthosepion pharaonis is the source of this 108-nucleotide non-coding RNA. Lineage: Eukaryota; Metazoa; Mollusca; Cephalopoda; Sepiida; Sepiidae. The record is from the annotation of a GenBank genome assembly.
UACAGCCAUAUCACAAUGAAACAAUAGUUCUUGUACGAUCACUGAAGUUAAGCAACAUCGAGCCUGGUCAGUACCUAGAUGAGUGACCACAUGAGAAUACCAUGUGCU